RNAcentral lists this ribosomal RNA (484 nucleotides) under uncultured bacterium. RNAcentral's name for it is "partial 16S ribosomal RNA". It matches the Rfam family "Bacterial small subunit ribosomal RNA", at positions 30 to 507 of the family's 1533-position model. The record is from RNAcentral.
AUUGAACGCUGGCGGCAGGCCUAACACAUGCAAGUCGAGCGGAUGAAGGGAGCUUGCUCCUGGAUUCAGCGGCGGACGGGUGAGUAAUGCCUAGGAAUCUGCCUGGUAGUGGGGGAUAACGUCCGGAAACGGGCGCUAAUACCGCAUACGUCCUGAGGGAGAAAGUGGGGGAUCUUCGGACCUCACGCUAUCAGAUGAGCCUAGGUCGGAUUAGCUAGUUGGUGGGGUAAAGGCCUACCAAGGCGACGAUCCGUAACUGGUCUGAGAGGAUGAUCAGUCACACUGGAACUGAGACACGGUCCAGACUCCUACGGGAGGCAGCAGUGGGGAAUAUUAGACAAUGGGCGAGAGCCUGAUCCAGCCAUGCCGCGUGUGUGAAGAAGGUCUUCGGAUUGUAAAGCACUUUAAGUUGGGAGGAAGGGCAGUAAGUUAAUACCUUGCUGUUUUGACGUUACCAACAGAAUAAGCACCGGCUAACUUCGUG